UACGGAGGGUGCAAGCGUUAUCCGGAUUCACUGGGUUAAGGGUGCGUAGGCGGACUUGUAAGUCAGUGGUGAAAUCUCUCAGCUUAACUGAGAAACUGCCAUUGAUACUGCAGGUCUAGAGUAUAGAUGACGUUGGCGGAAUAUGACAUGUAGUGGUGAAAUACUUAGAUAGUGUCAUAGAACACCGAUUGCGAAGGCAGCUAACGAACUAUAACGUGACGCUGAGGCACGAAAGUGCGGGGAUCAACAGG
Molecule: ribosomal RNA, 251 nt
Filed under: uncultured bacterium
Lineage: Bacteria
Description: partial 16S ribosomal RNA
Rfam family: Bacterial small subunit ribosomal RNA
Source: RNAcentral